UUUUUUUUUUUUUGACCAUAGAGCUUUUUUUCUUCUUCUUCUUCUUCUUUUUUUUUUCCUGUGGCAUAUGGAAUUCCCAGCCCAGGCAUCGGAUCUGCGCACAACACUGGAUCCCUGAGCCACCGUGCCAGGCCGGGGAUUGAACUUGCAACCCAGCACUCCAGAAAUGCCACUGAGCCCAUUGAGCCAUAGCAGGAACUCCUAUAGGGCUAUUCCCACCCCCACCCCCCAUAUUGUAACAUUCCACAGGAUAUUCCCAGUUUGAAAUGCUAGAGGGAAGUGUGGGUAUGAAAUCAGGGUUAAUGAUAAAGAUCUGGGAGGCAACAUCUUAGAAGUGAUUGUUUAAACCAGUGGUUCUCCCAAUUUAAAUCCUCACUGAAGGGGAGUUCCCGUGGUGGCACAGCACCACAUGCUGGGUUAUUCACAGACAGCAGGCACAGGAUGUGUCUAGUGAUUAUGGGCAGGUUUCAGGGAUCCUACAGCCUAGAUUCAAACCAGGCUAUGUGACCAUGAGUAGGUUGCUUCAUCUCUUUGUGCCUCAAUUCCUUCAUCUCUAAAACAGGGUUAAUAGAGCUAAUAAGGCUUUUACAAAAACCCUGUGGAACAGUUGCCAAACUUAACAAAUGAAAAUACAGGAUCCUGGAGUUCCCGUCAUGGCACAGCGGAAACGAAUCCGACUGGGAACCAUGAGGUUGCAGGUUCAAUCCCUGGCCUCACUCAGUGGGUUAAGGAUCUGGCAUUGCUGUGAGCUGUGAUGUAGGCCGGCGGCUGUGCUCUGAUUCCACCCCUCGCCUGGGAACCUCCAUAUGCCACAGGUGCAGCCCUAAAAAACAAACAAACGAACAACAACAACCAAAAAAAAAAAAAACAACUGAAGGUCCUCUUAAAACACAAAGAGCACUGGGCCCCACCCCCAAAAGACCUGAUUCUGUAUGACUGGGUCAAAAGCUGAGAAUGUGUAUUUGCUGUCUGUUUUCCAGGUGCUAGUCCAGUACCAUACUUUGAGAACCACUGAUGUGAUAGAUGCCCUUUCCAAAAAAGCUUACAGAGAAAGAAAUAGGUUUAGGGUUAUAUGCUAGUGUUCCCAGCACAGGCUGGAGAACUCACUGUACCAGGCAGGAGCAGAAAAAGGGAAAGUGACAAAAUGACAAAUUGAUACUGCCCAAAGGAAGAGAAUUUCCAGGAGGUUCCUGGGCCAUGGGGUCAAGUACUCAGAGAACAAGAAGAGGAUGAAGUAGGGUCGUUAAGAUAAAAUACAGGACUCCUAGUCCAAUUUCAAAUUUGGAUGAACAACAAAUGAUUUUUAAGUUUGUUUAGUAAGUUUUAUGUACUUAGUUCCAACUGAUGAUGGUUUGACUCAAGGAUGGUGUGAAAGUGAUGUGUUCUUUAGAGAAUGCGCUUUGAAUUUUGAACUUGAUUUUUUCCAGGCUGUCUAUGUAUGGGACAAUCCUCGCUCGUGACGCUGCCAUAGCUGACAGCCAGCCAGCAAUCAUGAGAGUAAACAACCUGCACACUUACAACCAUUCUGUAUCCACACAACUAUUGUUUUUCACUUUCAGUACAGUAAAAUACAUGAGAUACUUAACCAUUUAUCCUAAGACAGGCUUUGUGUCAGAUGAUUUUGCCCAACUGGAGGCAAAUGUAAGUGCUCUGAGCACAUUUAAGGUAGGCUAGGCUGGGCCAUGAUGUUUGGUACAUUAGGUGCAUUAAAUGCAUUUUUUGACUUAUGAUGUUUUGAAUUUAUGAUGGGUUUAUCAGGACACGACCCCAUCCCAAGUCAAGUAAGAUCUGUACUAAAAAUAUCACAUUACUUAGGAGUUCAAAUUUAACCUGACGCAGUGUUUUUAUUUGUUAAAUCUGGUAUCCCUAGAAAGGUAAUGGAAAGGCCCCAGGAUUUGCUGAAAAGACAGAACUUGGAGAGCCUUUCAGUGGAGUGUUGGGGGCAGGAGCCAGAAGCUGAUAAGCUACAGAGGAAACAGCCGUGGAACAGGGCUAUGGUGGUCCUGCCUUGGGGCCUCCAUGUACAGGGAGCCCAGCAGCUAAGUAGGGGGCUUCGCUGCUGGUCCUGCCCUGACUUGGAUCCCAGCCCUAAAGCUAGCCCUUCUUGCUGUGGCUUAUGCCCAAGCUCCCUACAUGGGAACACUUGGCACCUGGGUGCUUGAGUAUCUAUCUGCGAAACACACUUAUAUUCUUAGGUCACAAAACUGAAGACGUGUCUGUUCAGAACCUCCUGAAACAGAGUAUGUAAUAAAAGUGCAUUGAACUGAAAGCAUUUAAUUUAUACACAACACAUUCCUGGAUGUUUACAGAGACUUAGGCCACUUUUAACGGCUUGUGUAUUUUUCUUUCUGCAAAAGGUGUGGAAUAGAGUAAACCUUUUAAGUGAUCAAUUAGUUCCAAGGUUUUCAUUCUGGAAAAAUGUAUCUCUGUGUAACAAUUGAGACCUGAGAUAAUGAAGUAAUAUUUCACUGUAUAUAAAGCAUCUGGCACCAUGCCUGGCACAUAGUAGAGACUUAAUAACAGUAAUUAUACAUGCAUGUGGAGGAUACUACACAUUUUGGGCAGGGAGAAAGAUUUCUUAAAAACUAUCACACUGCAAUAUUUUAACUGAAUGUUGUUAUAUAAUUAGUGCAAUGUACCUAUUCUAAUAGUACAAUGUACCUGUCACACUGUUUGGCACAUAGUAAUCCAGUAAAUGCGAGCUAGCACUAUUGCCCUCGAUUCACAUGCUAUUAACUGUCUCCUGUUAGAAUCAGCCUUGGAGUUCCCCUUGUGGCUCAGGAGUUAACAAACCUGACUAGUAAACAUGAAGACUCCCUGGCCUUGUGCACUGGGUUAAGGAUCCAGCAUUGCUGUGAGCUGUGGCGUAGGUCACAGACGUGGCUCUGACACAGGCUAGGGACUGCAGCUCCGACUGAACCUAGCUUGGAAACCUCCAUAUGGUGUGGCCCUAAAGGACAAAAAAUGAAAAAAAUUAAAAAUUAAAAAAAACAAUCAGCCUUUCUCCCUGUCCAGAAGGCAUGGUUCCUGCUAUACACACACACACACACACACACACUCACACUGGAGGCUGAUCGUGGAGCAGUGAGGUGGUCAGGUAUAGACUGCGUCCAGUGAACUGCAAGUACACACACACACACACACACAGGAGGCUGAUCGUGGAGCAGUGAGGUGGUCAGGUAUAGACUGCGUCCAGUGAACUGCAAGUACACACACACACACACACAGGAGGCUGAUCGUGGAGCAGGGAGGGGGUCAGGUAUAGACUGCGUCCAGUGAACUGCAAGUACACACACACACACACACACAGGAGGCUGAUCGUGGAGCAGUGAGGUGGUCAGGUAUAGACUGCGUCCAGUGAACUGCCUUCCAAAAUGAAACUCAUGUCCACCUGGCUUAGAGAAAUAGUCCCAGCCAUCACCACACUCUGCCCUUUGUGGAAGGUCAGGGCUUAUUAUGGGGUGUCUAUUGCAUUGAGAAUACCUGAGGAAGACUGUUCUUUUUUUCCAACAGUGACGGCAACUGCUUAUAGCAUUUGACAGUGUAAUAUCUGCCCUUUUUCAGAGCAUGGAAAGAGGUGUACUGAUGGAAGGAAGAGGGCCUUCUUCAAUAGGCAGGUGUCGGCACAUGCCGGAGGGAAGAGCUUUAUUGCUGGUCAGGCAUCUGUGCCCUGUAGCAUGUUAACAGAUUUCUAUUUCACUGAUUUCAUUUUUCCUUCUUAAAAACAUCCCAGCUUAACAAGAGCCUUUGAGGGAAAAAGUCCAGCAACAAACUUCUGGCAUCUCCUUGGCAACCAGCCACUCGAGCUACUAGUGUCAUAUUCACAAAUGAAAGUGAUGGAAAAUAGGGAGUUUUAUUACUAUUUUUGGUUUGAGGAAGCCACAGUUUUGAACACUAAAUGCGAUAUUCAAAUGAAACGUUCUGGGAAGUUCUGCAGGGCUGGCCAAGGUAACCUACAAUCUCAACUCACCUUUGAGGUCACUAUAAACACUCCCAGUGUUCUAACAGUGGAUGGCUUUACUCAGUAACUUGGGGAGAAUCCCAGACCAGCACCUCAAAGCCCUGACUUUCAGACAUGGAUCAUCGCCAGCUCAACAUGUCCUAGGAGCACUGUGCCAACAAGUACAGUGACUUACCAGUCCUGACACUCUGUGGAGAUUCACUGUCAGAGGCUCCAGUGGAAACAGAGGGAAAGAUAAAGAGCUUCUGUCCAGAAUUUAUGAUGCUCUACAGCUACCUGAUCUUUAUGUAUUUUUUUCUAAGGUUUCCAAAUUGCUUUAGGUCCUGUGGAUUCUUCCCAGGAUGAAGAUGGAGAGGAAGCAAGGAUGCAAACAUCAUAAAACACACCCCCAAACACCGCCCCAAAAGAGGUUACAUCCCAUAGCUUUGGGAACAUAACUCUUAAUGCAAAACCUGAUCUGGACUUCAUGAGAGACACACAGAGCAAACUCUACACAAUGUGUCAGAGUUCCUAAAGUAAUUCAAAAAUCAUUGAAAAUAUCUGAGAAAAGUUUAAAAGACAUCUUUUAUUGGUUUAUUAGGAGGCAAAGCUAUAAGGUGCAUGCAGGCCUCUUAGUCACUGAAAGUAAAUUUGCCAAAGGUCACACACCAAAUCUGCCACCACUGCCCACUUACCAGCUGAACGGCCACAAUCUGAACUUGCAGACUUUGGAGACUGCUGUGUUCUCUAAGAAGAUGGUCUUGAAAGUGCUGCUCUGUGACUGGUUCCUGCCUAUGGCGUGAGGGUCGCACUGAAGGCAUUCGGGGCAUGAUGUUUACUAUCACCGAUCUAAUGGUCAGGAUUUAUCGGUUCUUUGAAGAAAUGUUAAGGAAGUAGGGAGUGAAAGGGGAAGAAAACACAUUUAUAAAGUACAGUGAAGCUUCUGACCUAAGUACACUGUGUCUGAAGUACGCUGUUAAAAAUCUGUGAUGGCGGGUUAUGGAAAUUACCAGAAUGUGACAGAAACUGUGCUCACCUGCGGAGUUGACUUUUUCAUCAAGAGAAUGUAAGGGAGUUACCCUUACUGUUAAAUGGCCACUGUCGCCCCACAGGCGUGGCUGCUGCUUGCACCCCUGUUUCAUCUGCACCCCGACCAGGCUCAGUUUUUCAGCAGAUGGACCAUGAAAACCAUGGUUGAGACAGAACCUGAAGCCGCAGACUCUGACAACUGAUUUGUGUGGUUUUGCCCAUUUUCCUCUAAGUUUUUGAAGACCAUAGCUACUCCCUCAUCUUGAUUUAUAUGCAUAACCGGGAAAACCCGUUUUCUUAUCAAGAGUUUUGUGGUUCACCUAGGAAAAAUACAGAAAACAGUGUCUUUUAUUUUAUUUUUAUUUUUUUUGUCUUUUGAGGGCCACACAUAUGGAGCGGCCCAAGAAAUACCAAAAAGACCAAAAAAAAAAAAAAAAUGAGGUAAUAAACAUUUAUAUUCUGCUCCUACGCCCUCAAUUUGGGUCUGUUUGAGCAAGGUACUCAGUGUCUUGAUUCCCAUAAGUAGGCGUAAUAAUAAAAACAUCCACAAGGUUUCUAGAAGGACGAAGUGAGAUAACAUAUGUAAAGUAGCUAGAAUGGAGCCAGAGACUUAGUAAAUGCUCAACGCUGGAACAUUAUUAUUAUUGCCAUUUUCACUAUUACGUAAGCUGACUGAUCCAAGCAGUUAUGCCAUCAGCAUCAGUGCCGUCUCUAUCUCCCUCUUACCUGUCCUCUCGUCCUCAUCCCUCCCUCCAGCCCCUCGCAUGUCUAAUUAGAGAACCUCUUCAGGAUGCUGAUUCAGAAAUGCCCAAACCCGGUCCAGAAGGUGAACACAAACGGGGACCCAGAAGGAGCUUGGACAUGGACCAAAAUCACAACUAACUGCAGAUCAACCAUUGCUAAAAAAGACUUGGCGUUCCCACCAUGGUGCAGUGGGUUAAGAAUCUGAAUGCAACAGUUCAGGUUGCUGCAGAGGCAUGUUUUGAUCCCUGGCCCAGUGCAGUGGGUUAAAGGAUCCAGUGUUGCUGCAGCUGCAGCUUAGAUUCAAUCCCUGGCCUGGGAGCUUCCAUAUGCCACGGAUGUGGCCAUUAAAAAGGGGGGGGGGAGUUUCCCUUGUGGCCUAGUGGUAACGAACACAACUAGUAUCCAUGAGGAUGUGGGUUCAAUCCCUGGUCCCGCUCAGUGGGUUAAGGAUCUGGCACUGCCAUGAGCAACAGUUUAGGUCACAGAUGAGGCUUGGAUUUGCUGUGGCUGUGGCAUAGGCGGGCAGCUACAGCUCCACUUUGACCUCUAGCCUGGGAACUUCCAUAUGCUGCAGGUGUGGCCCUUUAAAAAAAAAAAAAAAAAAAAAAGACUAGAAACUUAUCAAAAAAUAUAUUCUACACCCAAAAACAUAAAGAAAAAACCCAAUGAGAUGCAAAUAAUCAC
Molecule: long non-coding RNA, 6397 nt
Filed under: Sus scrofa (pig)
Lineage: Eukaryota; Metazoa; Chordata; Mammalia; Artiodactyla; Suidae
Description: lncRNA (ENSSSCG00035052447.1)
Source: RNAcentral